This 468-nucleotide ribosomal RNA is filed under the name uncultured bacterium. RNAcentral's name for it is "partial 16S ribosomal RNA". It matches the Rfam family "Bacterial small subunit ribosomal RNA", at positions 28 to 507 of the family's 1533-position model. The record is from RNAcentral.
GACGAACGCUGGCGGCGUGCUUAACACAUGCAAGUCGAACGGAAAGGCCCUGCUUUUGUGGGGUGCUCGAGUGGCGAACGGGUGAGUAACACGUGAGUAACCUGCCCUUGACUUUGGGAUAACUUCAGGAAACUGGGGCUAAUACCGGAUAGGAGCUCCUGCUGCAUGGUGGGGGUGGGAAAGUUUCGGCGGUUGGGGAUGGACUCGCGGCUUAUCAGCUUGUUGGUGGGGUAGUGGCUUACCAAGGCUUUGACGGGUAGCCGGUCUGAGAGGGUGACCGGCCACAUUGGGACUGAGAUACGGCCCAGACUCCUACGGGAGGCAGCAGUGGGGAAUAUUGCACAAUGGGCGGAAGCCUGAUGCAGCAACGCCGCGUGCGGGAUGACGGCCUUCGGGUUGUAAACCGCUUUCGCCUGUGACGAAGCGUGAGUGACGGUAAUGGGUAAAGAAGCACCGGCUAACUACGUG